UACGGAGGGUGCGAGCGUUGUCCGGAAUCACUGGGCGUAAAGGGCGCGUAGGUGGCGGGUCAAGCGUGCGGUGAAAGCUCGGGGCUCAACCCCGAGUCGGCCGUGCGAACUGGCUUGCUUGAGCACGGUAGAGGCAGGUGGAAUUCCGGGUGUAGCGGUGGAAUGCGUAGAGAUCCGGAAGAACACCGGUGGCGAAGGCGGCCUGCUGGGCCGUAGCUGACACUGAGGCGCGACAGCGUGGGGAGCAAACAGG
Molecule: ribosomal RNA, 253 nt
Filed under: uncultured bacterium
Lineage: Bacteria
Description: partial 16S ribosomal RNA
Rfam family: Bacterial small subunit ribosomal RNA
Source: RNAcentral